CCUACGGUGGCAGCAGUGGGGAAUAUUGCACAAUGGGGGAAACCCUGUUGCACCAACGCGGCUUGGGGGAUAAAGGCCUUCGGGCCGUAAAGCUCUUCCUUAGGGGAAGAAUAUUAACGGAACCUUAGGAGGAAGCCCCGGCAAACUACGUGCCAGAAGCCGCGGUAAUACGUAGGGGGCUAGCGUUAUCCGGAAUUACUGGGGGUAAAGGGUGCGUAGGCGGCCCUUCAAGGCAGAGGUGAAAGGCUACGGCUCAACCGUAGUAAGCCUUUGAAACUGUAGGGCUUGAGUGCAGGAGAGGAGAGUGGAAUUCCCAGUGUAGCGGUGAAAUGCGUAGAUAUUGGGAGGAACACCAGUUGCGAAGGCGGCUCUCUGGACUGUAACUGACGCUGAGGCACGAAAGCGUGGGGAGCGAACAGGAUUAGAUACCCGUGUAGUC
This 439-nucleotide ribosomal RNA is filed under the name uncultured bacterium. RNAcentral describes it as "bacterial SSU rRNA". It matches the Rfam family "Bacterial small subunit ribosomal RNA", at positions 338 to 795 of the family's 1533-position model. The record is from RNAcentral.